GAUCGAUCAGGAAUGCGUGUAGUCAUUGAGCUUAAAAGAGGGUCUGAUCCAGCCAUCGUGUUGAAUAAUCUUUACCGUCUUACUCCUCUGCAAUCCAGUUUUAGUUGCAACAUGGUCGGUAUUCUCAAUGGUCAACCAAAGCUGAUGGGGUUAAAAGAAUUGCUCCAGGCAUUUUUGGAUUUUAGAUGCUCUGUUGUUGAAAGGCGGGCUAAGUAUAAACUUUCACAAGCACAAGAAAGAAACCAUAUUGUUGAGGGUAUUAUAAUUGGGCUUGAUAACUUGGAUG
This 286-nucleotide unclassified non-coding RNA is filed under the name Hevea brasiliensis (rubber tree). The record is from RNAcentral. Lineage: Eukaryota; Viridiplantae; Streptophyta; Magnoliopsida; Malpighiales; Euphorbiaceae.